Molecule: unclassified non-coding RNA, 379 nt
Filed under: Hevea brasiliensis (rubber tree)
Lineage: Eukaryota; Viridiplantae; Streptophyta; Magnoliopsida; Malpighiales; Euphorbiaceae
Source: RNAcentral
GUAAUGAACAAAUCUGACUUCAGAACUUGGCUACUGAUCCAUGACUUCAGCAAUGGUAACAAAUCGACCUCUCUCUAUAGAAAGUUGUGCAGCAACUCCCAUGGCCACUGAAAUCAGUCCAUCUUGCAAGUCCACCGCAGGGACUUGUCCAUCUCUAGCUCUCACUGCAUACAAAAAGUUUAGGUGUUCCAAAUAGCUAGAUCCAUGAUGCAGACCCUCGUACUUGAUUCUAUCAUCCUCUGCUUUUAAUGUUUCGACUCCAUUUCUUCCAGAAACUCGAGUGCCAAAACGAAUGAUGUUUUCAGGAACAAAAGCCUCGCCCUUUCCAAUAUCACCAACAACCGAUAUCUCCUGCUCGUUUUUACUUCCCUCAGCAAAC